RNAcentral lists this ribosomal RNA (497 nucleotides) under uncultured bacterium. Its description in RNAcentral is "partial 16S ribosomal RNA". It matches the Rfam family "Bacterial small subunit ribosomal RNA", at positions 28 to 507 of the family's 1533-position model. The record is from RNAcentral.
GAUGAACGCUGGCGGCGUGCCUAAUACAUGCAAGUCGAGCGAACAGACGAGGAGCUUGCUCCUCUGACGUUAGCGGCGGACGGGUGAGUAACACGUGGAUAACCUACCUAUAAGACUGGGAUAACUUCGGGAAACCGGAGCUAAUACCGGAUAACAUGUUGAACCGCAUGGUUCAACAGUGAAAGACGGUUUUGCUGUCACUUAUAGAUGGAUCCGCGCCGCAUUAGCUAGUUGGUAAGGUAACGGCUUACCAAGGCAACGAUGCGUAGCCGACCUGAGAGGGUGAUCGGCCACACUGGAACUGAGACACGGUCCAGACUCCUACGGGAGGCAGCAGUAGGGAAUCUUCCGCAAUGGGCGAAAGCCUGACGGAGCAACGCCGCGUGAGUGAAGAAGGUCUUCGGAUCGUAAAACUCUGUUAUUAGGGAAGAACAAAUGUGUAAGUAACUAUGCACGUCCUGACGGUACCUAAUCAGAAAGCCACGGCUAACUACGUG